CGGACGGGUGAGUAAUGCUUGGGAAUCUGGCUUAUGGAGGGGGAUAACUACGGGAAACUGUAGCUAAUACCGCGUAAUAUCUUCGGAUUAAAGGGUGGGACUUUCGGGCCACCUGCCAUAAGAUGAGCCCAAGUGGGAUUAGGUAGUUGGUGGGGUAAAGGCCUACCAAGCCGACGAUCUCUAGCUGGUCUGAGAGGAUGACCAGCCACACUGGAACUGAGACACGGUCCAGACUCCUACGGGAGGCAGCAGUGGGGAAUAUUGCACAAUGGGGGGAACCCUGAUGCAGCCAUGCCGCGUGAAUGAAGAAGGCCUUCGGGUUGUAAAGUUCUUUCGGUGAUGAGGAAGGUGUUUGUUUUAAUAGAACAAGCAAUUGACGUUAGUCACAGAAGAAGCACCGGCUAACUCCGUGCCAGCAGCCGCGGUAAUACGGAGGGUGCGAGCGUUAAUCGGAAUGACUGGGCGUAAAGGGCACGCAGGCGGUGACUUAAGUGAGAUGUGAAAGCCCCGGGCUUAACCUGGGAAUUGCAUUUCAUACUGGGUCGCUAGAGUAUUUUAGGGAGGAGUAGAAUUCCACGUGUAGCGGUGAAAUGCGUAGAGAUGUGGAGGAAUACCGAAGGCGAAGGCAGCCCCUUGGGAAUAUACUGACGCUCAUGUGCGAAAGCGUGGGGAGCAAACAGGAUUAGAUACCCUGGUAGUCCACGCU
RNAcentral lists this ribosomal RNA (706 nucleotides) under uncultured Actinobacillus sp. RNAcentral describes it as "bacterial SSU rRNA". It matches the Rfam family "Bacterial small subunit ribosomal RNA", at positions 99 to 801 of the family's 1533-position model. The record is from RNAcentral. Lineage: Bacteria; Pseudomonadati; Pseudomonadota; Gammaproteobacteria; Pasteurellales; Pasteurellaceae.